This 715-nucleotide long non-coding RNA is filed under the name Sus scrofa (pig). Its description in RNAcentral is "lncRNA (ENSSSCG00070008325.1)". Lineage: Eukaryota; Metazoa; Chordata; Mammalia; Artiodactyla; Suidae. The record is from RNAcentral.
CCCUUAGCUAGCUGCCACGUUCUCAUGACCCUCUAGGAAGUGACAGGAAGAGAGAGACGGAAAGUCAGGAGGUCAGAGUCAUUUCCUAGCCUGUUAAAAAGGAAAGGAAAGUGGAAAAUAGAGAAAGCUCGGCAGCCGGAGGUCAGCCAAGCCCUCGGAUGCUGGGCUGUUGCGUUUAAAGUUUGGCCCAACUCUGAGACCCGGAGCUCUCACAUUCUGUUCCUUGGAGCAAGAGUCUUAGCCCCGAAACAUAAAUAAAGACCCUCUUCCUUCAAUCUGAAGACCGAGGGUAAAACAUUCUCUGUUUAGGACAUGAGAUCCUGGCGUUCAUCUUAAACUUUCAUCCCUCGGCCUCUGCCACUGCUUACCUCUGUAAGAAUCAAGGAUCCUGUGUGAUCUGCGAUUUAGCACAGGUCCCUGCUGCAUUUCCAGUACCCCAAACCCAGCCCAGAGCACACCCUCGGUCGGUGUUUGUGGAGAGGUUUGAAAUGACACGCCCCUGCUCCAGAGAAGCACCCAGUCUGCUGGAGGAGGUGGAGCAGAUACACACAGAAGCCUAGAAUAAGCUGGAACGUGGAAAAGGGCCCCUGGACAGAGACACGAUGUCAUGGGCUUCUGAGAAGGAGAAAACCACACAGGUUGGGGAAAGAGGAAUUCUUAGGGAAGGUGGCAGCUGAGAGGUUUACUCAGGUGGGGACAGGGGCCUCGUGACAGG